This 460-nucleotide ribosomal RNA is filed under the name uncultured bacterium. RNAcentral describes it as "partial 16S ribosomal RNA". It matches the Rfam family "Bacterial small subunit ribosomal RNA", at positions 338 to 795 of the family's 1533-position model. The record is from RNAcentral.
CCUACGGGAGGCAGCAGUGAGGAAUAUUGGUCAAUGGCCGUAAGGCUGAACCUGCCAAGUAGCGUGAGGGAAGACUGCCCUAUGGGUUGUAAACCUCUUUUAUGUGGGGAUAAAGGUGUCCACGUGUGGAUGUUUGCAGGUACCGCAUGAAUAAGGAUCGGCUAACUCCGUGCCAGCAGCCGCGGUAAUACGGAGGAUCCGAGCGUUAUCCGGAUUUGUUGGGUGUAAAGGGAGCGUAGAUGGGUUGUUAAGUCAGUUGUGAAAGUUUGCGGCUCAACCGUAAAAUUGCAAUUGAUACUGGCAGCCUUGAGUACAGGUGAGGUAGGCGGAAUUCGUGGUGUAGCGGUGAAAUGCUUAGAUAUCACGAAGAACUCCGAUUGCGAAGGCAGCUUACUAAACUGCCACUGACAUUGAUGCUCGAAAGUGUGGGUAGCAAACAGGAUUAGAUACCCGUGUAGUC